CUAUAACCACCCUCACCCCAUUUCCACCCCCACCCCAUCACCCUCUCCAACUCAUUCCUACCCCCACCCCAUCAUCACAUCCAUCACAUUGUCACCUCUGUUUUAUUGUCACCCCCACCCCAUCAUCACAUCCAUCACAUUGUCACCUCUGUUUUAUUGUCACCCCCACCCCAUCGUCACGUCCAUCACGUUGUCACCUCCGUUUUAUUGUCACCCCCCCCACCCAUUGCCACCUCCGCCCCAUUGCCACCUCCGCCCCAUUGCCACCCCCGCCCCAUUAUGGCCACCCCCGCCCCAUUGUCACCUCUACCCCAUUGUCACCUCCACCCUACAGCCACCCCCGCCCCACUGUCACCUCUGUCCCUUUCCUACUUCUGUGUGAUGCCCAGCCCCACCACCUCCAUCCUGCAGCCCUGUCCCCUCGUGUCACCUCUGCUCCCCUUUGUGUUGUCCCCUCGUGUCACCUCUGCUCCCCUUCAUGAUGUCCCCACGUGUCACCCCUGGUCCCCUUUGUGUUGUCCCCUCAUGUCACCUCCAUUCCUUGUGAUGUCCCCUCGUGUCACCUCCAUUCUCCUUCAUGAUGUCCUCCCCAAUUGUCACCUUCCUUCUCUCUUUUAUUGUCCCCUCGUGUCACCUCCGUUCUCCUUCACGAUGUCCCCGUGUGUCACCUCUGCUCCCCUUUAUGUUGUCCCCCCAUGUCACCUCACCUCCAUUCCUCCUGAUGUCCCCCCGUGUCACCUCCCCUCUCCUGUCACUGCGUGACCCCCCGAUGUCCCCACACGUCCCCUCCUGACCCCCCGAUGUCCCCACAGUUGUGUGUUACAACGGUGGCACCCACGACGGCAUCAAAUGCCUCUGCCUCUCCAACUUCUAUGGGCCGCAGUGCGAGUUCCCCAUCGACACCAUCGACACCUCCCUCUCGUCCUCCAGCACCACGGUGGCUGCGGCGGAUCUGGACGUCACCAUCACCAACUUCAACUACACCGAGGAGUUGGAGGACCAACAGUCGGAAGCGUUCCUCGAGUUUGGGGAGCACUUCCAGAAGGAGGUGAGAACCGUUCCUCGGGUGGGAGGAGGUUGGGGGGGUCACUUCCGNNNNNNNNNNNNNNNNNNNNUUCCGGUUUUGGGGGUGUCACUUCCGGUGAUUGGGGUCUCACUUCCUGUUGUUGGGGUCUCGCUUCCCGUGGUUGGGGUCUCACUUCCAUCGGUUGGGGUGCCACAUCCGGAUUUGGGGCGCCACUUCCCGUUGUUGGGGUCUCACUUCCGGAUUUGGGGUGUCACUUCCUGCGGUUGGUGGUCUCACUUCCGGUGGUCUGGGUCUCGCUUCCAUCGGUUUGGGUGUCACUUCCGUAUUUGGGACGCCACUUCCCGAUGUUCGGGCGUCAUUUCCUGUUUGGCGGGAGCCACUUCCGGUGGCGGGGCGUCACUUCCGGUUUCAGUUUCGUUUCUGUUCGUCGGUUCCACAGAUCGGGAAAAUCUACGGCAGCGUCCCCAGCUACAAGGGGGUGAAGAUCCUCGACGUCGGGUGCG
Molecule: long non-coding RNA, 1530 nt
Filed under: Meleagris gallopavo (turkey)
Lineage: Eukaryota; Metazoa; Chordata; Aves; Galliformes; Phasianidae
Description: lncRNA (ENSMGAG00000019575.1)
Source: RNAcentral